RNAcentral lists this ribosomal RNA (391 nucleotides) under uncultured bacterium. RNAcentral's name for it is "bacterial SSU rRNA". It matches the Rfam family "Bacterial small subunit ribosomal RNA", at positions 30 to 416 of the family's 1533-position model. The record is from RNAcentral.
AUUGAACGCUGGCGGCAUGCCUUACACAUGCAAGUCGAACGGCAGCACGGGAGCAAUCCUGGUGGCGAGGUGGCGAACGGGGUGAGGUAAUAUAUCGGAACGUGGCCCAGUCGUGGGGGAUAACGUAGCGAAAGCUACGCUAAUACCGCAUACGAUCUAUGGAUGAAAGCGGGGGAUCGCAAGACCUCGCGCGAUUGGAGCGGCCGAUAUCAGAUUAGGUAGUUGGUGGGGUAAAAGCCUACCAAGCCUUCGAUCUGUAGCUGGUCUGAGAGGACGACCAGCCACACUGGAACUGAGACACGGUCCAGACUCCUACGGGAGGCAGCAGUGGGGAAUUUUUGGACAAUGGGCGCAAGCCUGAUCCAGCAAUGCCGCGUGCGGGAUGAAGGCC